Callithrix jacchus (white-tufted-ear marmoset) is the source of this 2854-nucleotide non-coding RNA. NCBI's taxonomy places the organism in Eukaryota, Metazoa, Chordata, Mammalia, Primates, Cebidae. The record is from RefSeq and is a predicted model, not a curated record.
GACCAGAAGGGCCGGCAGCACCAGCAGGGUCCAAUAGCCCACUCUGCCCAUAGUCGCCACUGACGGUCCCUGCAGGGUGAAGAGUGAGAGGCAGGGACGCGGUGAGCAAGGCGACCAGAAGAAAGGGAUUACCGACUGGGUCCCGGCUGUAGGAGCCAGGCGUGGAACUCAGCAGCAGGAUAGGCUGCUGGGAUCACAGACUCCACUCCCAAUCCCCGACGCCAUCCAUGUGCCUCGACGCAUCUCUAACUCUAUCUCCAACUCCAAUCCGAGCUUCUCGCAUCCAGCUUCCUCAUUCCCCGUCUCCAGGCGCUUCCCCAUCCCCACCUCUGUCCACAUCCCCCACCGCGUCCCCCAGUUCGCUGCGGAGCACAGACCCUAAGCGCCGCGCGCGUUCUGGAACCCACCAAGCCAGCAGGUGCACCGCAUAAACCCUCCAUCCAACCCCUCCCAGCCGGGAUAGAGAGGCCCAAGUUAUCAGCCCCGCCCCCUGCUCGCGAGGAGCGAACUACAGAAUCGGUGGGAUGUGCCGAGGCGGCGCCUGGGCCCGGCGUCCGGGCGUGAAAGCUGAGCUCCUUGGCUGACCUCGACCCUGCGAACUCGUCGGGUGCACCCCACGCUUUGCUCUAUGCUUCGCGCUAACUACAGACCCGGCUCCUCUGAUGCAGAGUACACCUGAGGUAACUGCGGUCUGAGGCUGAGGCUCCACUGCCCUGUCUUCACCUCCAUGAGAUGCGGGUUAGGUCCCCAUGGCUCCACCUUCUCCUCAAGAAACGGUCCAGAGCCUGUGAGCCCUGAGGAUUCUACAAUUUGGAUGUCAAGAGGAAACUGCCAAAAGCCAGAGCCCAGCAUCAAGAGAGGUUGCAACAAUUAUGCUGGGUCAGACCAUCAAAAGGAUUCACAAGACUCCAACAAAGUAAAAGGCCUAAAUGUUUUUUCUUUUCAAUUUUUAAAAAUAUAUUUCAAAGAGAGACAGAGACUCACCAUGUUGCCCAGGCUUGUCAUGAACUCCUGGGCUAAAGCAAUCCUUCUGCCUUGGCCUCCAAAGUGUUGGGAUUACAGGCAUGAACCACUGCACCUGGCCCUGAAUGGUUUUAUUACAGGCAAAGGAUACAGAACAGUAAGAGUAAGAAAACUUGGAGCAACUUCAAGAGGAUCACAGUAUCCAUGAGCAGUGACUAAGGCCCGCCUCAGUUGCAUAGGACUGGUUUGGCCUCUGCAUCAUGAACCCCCUAGUGCAUGGGGAAGAGGUGGGCCUCAGGGAAGCCCCAAGGCAUAUGUUCAAUGAGACAUUUGUUCAUCUUAUUUCCCUCUUGUCACAUAGUCCAAACCAGGCUAAAUAACAAGUCAUAAUAAUUGAAACCAGGUGCCAACCAUCCAUCUAUGUUUUUCCAAUAAACUAUGUAGCAAGUUGGUACAAGGCACCUCCAGGCAGCUUUGGACUUCUGACAGCAUGUUAUAAAUCACUAAUUACUACACCCCAUCCUUUCUUGGCCAAGCCUAUGGUUCCAACAUCUCUGGAGAAAAUGCACAGAGUUACACAAACUAGCUUCAAGUUGGCCCUAUUCUUUCAGAGGCUAAGGAUGGAGAUUAGCCUUCCUGGGCCCCUGGAGUCACACCCAGCUUUGCUCCAGAUGAAGACCUAGAAUCCUGAAAACACAACUUGGGUACCAGAGGCAGUGUCUCACUGUGUUACCCAGGCUGGAGUGCAGUGGCUAUUCACUGGUGUGAUCCCACUGCUGAUCAGCACGGGAGUUUUGACCUCCUCCAUUUCCAACCUGGACAAGUUCGUCUCUCCUUAGAUGGAGGAAGGGGCCCCAAGCUGAGGACACCAGGAAGCCUUUAGAGGCUGAAAAGGACAAGAAAAUGGAUUCUCCUCCAGAGUCUCCAGAAAAGAAUUCCUUGGUUUUAGCCCACAAAGACCUGUACCAGACUCCUGAUCUCCUGAACUGGAAGAUAAUAAAUCUGUGUUGUUUUUAGCCACUCAGUUUGCAGUCCUUUGUUACAACAGCCAGAGGAAACUAAUGCACCCUCUGAAGCAUCUCCAGUAAAGCCCUAGAUCACUGAAGCACAGCUGGGUUCAAUGAACUUCAUCACUGUGGAUCAUGAAGGGGCUGAAAGGGUCCGUCCUCAACCCUUUUUCUUACACAGCUACUGGUAGGCACUCAGUACUGCAGGACUUGCUGACACAGCCCAGCCUGGUGGUAUCAGCUUCCCUGGGAUUCCAGGGCCCCACUCUUCCUGGCAGGAGGGGAAUCCCAGGUAGCCUUCUCACAAUGCCAAACUUAUUUUCAUAUUGGCAGCUGAGCAGUUCAGCAAAGAGCAGCUUGGAAGUGUCUUCUGGACCCCUAGAAGAGACCUUAUUCCUCUCCUUCUGCUGUACUCUGCCAGUUGUGGCCUUGCACCUGCUUGCUCCCACUGGCACGGUACCCAGAGCAUCUCUGGUCCAACCAACCAGCUCAGGACAGGACAGAGGGUAGAGGGAGACCUCAAGUCAGUCCCAGUCUGAGCUCCCCUAUCCCAGAGGUGGGAGUUGGACUGUUCUGCGGAAGAGCAGAUGGGCAUGAAUCUCAGGGGGUCCUGAAACAGAUGAGGUCUCAAAGCCCUAGAACAAUGGUUCUCAGCCCAGCUGGCACACUAGAUUCACCCAGGGAGCUUUUCAAACUCACAAUCAGGCUAAGCACAGUGGCUCAUGUCUGUGAUCCCAGAACUUUGAGAGGUUAAGGUGGGAGAAUCAUUUAAGCUAGGAGUUCAAGACCAGCCUGGGCAACACAGCAAGACCCCGUCUCUGUUUUUAAAAUGAAAAAUUUUUUUGGCUGGGCACACUGUCUCACAUCUAUAAUCCCAGUACUUU